GACGUAGGGCGCGAGCGUUGUCCGGAUUUAUUGGGCGUAAAGAGCUCGUAGGCGGUGUGUCGCGUCGGCCGUGAAAACCUGCAGCUUAACUGUGGGCGUGCGGUCGAUACGGGCAUCACUGGAGUUCGGCAGGGGAGACUGGAAUUCCUGGUGUAGCGGUGAAAUGCGCAGAUAUCAGGAGGAACACCGGUGGCGAAGGCGGGUCUCUGGGCCGAUACUGACGCUGAGGAGCGAAAGCGUGGGGAGCGAACAGG
Molecule: ribosomal RNA, 254 nt
Filed under: uncultured bacterium
Lineage: Bacteria
Description: partial 16S ribosomal RNA
Rfam family: Bacterial small subunit ribosomal RNA
Source: RNAcentral